CAGCAGCCGCGGGAAUACGAAGGGGGCUAGCGUUGCUCGGAAUGACUGGGCGUAAAGGGCGCGUAGGCGGAUUGUUUAGUUAGGCGUGAAAUUCCUGGGCUUAACCUGGGGACUGCGCUUAAUACAGGCAGUCUAGAGUGAGGAAGAGGGUUGUGGAAUUCCCAGUGUAGAGGUGAAAUUCGUAGAUAUUGGGAAGAACACCGGUGGCGAAGGCGGCAACCUGGUCCUUGACUGACGCUGAGGCGCGAAAGCGUGGGGAGCAAACGGGAUUAGAUACCCCCGUAGUCCCUGUCUCUUAUAC
RNAcentral lists this ribosomal RNA (301 nucleotides) under uncultured bacterium. Its description in RNAcentral is "partial 16S ribosomal RNA". It matches the Rfam family "Bacterial small subunit ribosomal RNA", at positions 509 to 807 of the family's 1533-position model. The record is from RNAcentral.